Felis catus (domestic cat) is the source of this 2337-nucleotide long non-coding RNA. RefSeq lists it as uncharacterized. The transcript has 6 exons. The record is from RefSeq and is a predicted model, not a curated record. NCBI's taxonomy places the organism in Eukaryota, Metazoa, Chordata, Mammalia, Carnivora, Felidae.
GUCGCAGUCCGCGCAUGCGCGUCGGCGGGGCGCCCAGCGCCCCGCGGCAGGCUCCGCUCCCAGAAGCGAGCGUUGCAAACUGUUGCAUCAGACGGCAAGCAGCCGCCCGGCCGCCAGGGUUUCUAGGAAGAUAGGAAGGGUUUGAGAUCCUCUGUGGUCGAAUGGGAGCGUUGGCUGUCACUCACGGUGUUUACACGCUGGUAACACAAUCCCCUGAAACCUCAAGCUUGCGCCAGUCCGGGGAGGGCCUUAGCCACAGGUGAAAUUCUCUGAACUCCGCCGCUUCUGCCCCCACCCCACCGCCCCAGGCUGGACCAAGUGAAUUGGACUCGGUCUGCUUUAUUAAUGGCAUGGGCCCUAAAGGAAUGAGCUGGGUUUGAUUUCUCUUCCCAAGUACAAGAAUGCCCCUGAGGAAUUUCUCACUCUGUGAAAGCGCAAAACUAAUUUCCCCAGACAGGCGCUGUUGCCGGUUCCCAAAAGGGCUUGGAAAGAUCCCAGCAGGAAUGCUCAGUGGUUCCAAAUCUCUUCACCCGAGCCGCUGGAUAUGCAGACACUGACCACCAAGAACUUCUUGGUAGGUGGACACACGUCCUUCCCAGACAGGCCUUCUUUUUAGAGUAUCUCAGGCCCCCAUGUUAUGGAGCUUUUGGAAUCAGCCAGAGAAUGCACAACCACGAACUCAUACAGACACAGCACAAAUGUUAACAGUUCUCUAGAUUCAAGUGGCUCUGCAACUCAGUUUGACAGGGUCCAUUGGGUGCCAAGCACGAUGACAGAAAAAGACCCCACUGAGGCAUAUCGCUGUGAAAUUUUAGAACCCUAGAGAUGAAGAAAAAAAAUCCUAAAAACUUCUCAAGACACAAGGGCCUCAAGUACAAUGCUGGAAAGAAGAAUUGAUGCAGACAUUUUUGUCUUGUUCCUGAUUUUUAAAGGCCUUCUAACAUUUCACCUUGAAGAAUGAUGUUUGAAGAAUGACGUUUGCUGUAAUUAUUUGGUUAAAAAAAACUCUAUCAGAGCCUGCCCUACCCAGAGCCCAGAGUCCCCUGAGUCUUGUCCCAUCUGAGUGUUCAUCCACACUCUUCCUCACACGUUGGAAACUCUAAGUAGGCUUCAUUCAUUAAAGUUUCCAGAGGCCAGUUUGGUCAGUCUGUGCUUGGUGACUGCUGGUUUGAUGAAUGAAUGCAAGCAUGCAGAGAUGGCCCCUGAGAGCCCAGGUGCAACCACUCUCCAGUCGGGCCAAUUGGUCACAUAAUCAAUGGCUGGACACGAUGUUUGAAACCAGGAGAACCCACCUCCAGGUGAAAUGACAGCAUGGAGCUGUCAUGGAAGAGGAGUCCCAUGACAACGGGAAUUUUUCUGUUCUACCCCUGCUUCAUCCCCAGUGACUAACGGCAUCUGACUCAUGGAAGGCCCUCAACGGAGGUUCACACAGGAAUGAGUGAGCUUGGUUGCAUAAAAAACCUCAAGUCUCAAAAACUCUGCUUGUCUGGCAGCAGAUCUGGUAUUUUAUAAAUGUCCCACUCUCCCACACUAAAUAAGAUGGUCCUGGUCAUCCCUUAUCACCAUUGCCCUUAGGUGGAGGGGGACACUCAGUCGUGUCCCCGAGACCACAGCCCUCCAAUCCAGGUCGUCCGGCAGCCUCCAAGAGCUCCUCCUGCCAUGGAACCUGUGCCUGCAGUCCUCCCUCUCCCCCAGUGCUGCCUCCUCUUUGAGGUAUCACGUUACUGCUGGUCCUGCCAGGACUGGAGGCUCACCCCUUGGCCAGCAGCCCACCUUAAGUUGCCUUGUGUAAACCUCUGUCCAUUUGCAUGCACAGCGAGGCAGCCAUGCUUUUGCCAAGUUCUGUCAGGGAGUGUUCUGUGCCAAAGGUGCCCGGGCCCCAACACUUUAUAGCCCUCUCCCCGCACCCCCACAAGAGACAUGUGGCAAAGCAUCUCCAUCCAGCCUCAGGGCAUGCUGGGUACGGGGGUAUCCUUUGUGCCUGCAACCUCCUUUUCUCCAAGCCCAGGCCCUGCCGCUGGACCGAUUCGGCCUGAGAGAUCCCCUCUGUCCUCCAGCAGUAAGUUGAGGAGUGGGGAGGGCACAUAGCGGAAUCCGAAUUAGCAACUGUGGAGAGUGAAAGGGGGGAGUGAGAGAGGCAGCAGAGGCCCCACCCCCUUCCCUGAGGAGGCCCGCCCACAGUGGGCGGAUCCCUCCCUGCCUACUCCCUUCUCAGGGUUUUUCCUGCAUACUGGACUGAGUUUUGUUGGUUUCUUCUUCUCCUUCUUCUUUUAAAUGUUUAUUUAAAAUGUUUAUUUUGAGAGAGAGAGAGACAGAGAGAGAGACAGAGAGGGAGAG